Molecule: ribosomal RNA, 528 nt
Filed under: Yarrowia lipolytica
Lineage: Eukaryota; Fungi; Ascomycota; Dipodascomycetes; Dipodascales
Description: eukaryotic LSU rRNA
Rfam family: Eukaryotic large subunit ribosomal RNA
Source: RNAcentral
UAGCGGAGGAAAAGAAACCAACAGGGAUUGCCUCAGUAACGGCGAGUGAAGCGGCAAAAGCUCAAAUUUGAAACCCUCGGGAUUGUAAUUUGAAGAUUUGGNAUUGGAGAAAGCUAACCCAAGUUGCUUGGAAUAGUACGUCAUAGAGGGUGACAACCCCGUCUGGCUAACCGUUCUCCAUGUAUUGCCUUAUCAAAGAGUCGAGUUGUUUGGGAAUGCAGCUCAAAGUGGGUGGUAAACUCCAUCUAAAGCUAAAUACUGGUGAGAGACCGAUAGCGAACAAGUACUGUGAAGGAAAGGUGAAAAGAACUUUGAAAAGAGAGUGAAAUAGUAUGUGAAAUUGUUGAUAGGGAAGGAAAUGAGUGGAGAGUGGCCGAGGUUUCAGCCGCCCCUCGUGGGCGGUGUACUGCCGACGCCGAGUCAUCGAUAGCGAGACGAGGGUUACAAAUGGGAGCGCCUUUCGGGCGUUCUCCCCUAACCCUCCACACUGCCACCGACGACAUAAUCCACCCAUUUCACCCGUCUUGA